GAUGAACGCUGGCGGCGUGCCUAAUACAUGCAAGUCGAGCGAACAGACGAGGAGCUUACUCCUCUGACGUUAGCGGCGGACGGGUGAGUAACACGUGGAUAACCUACCUAUAAGACUGGGAUAACUUCGGGAAACCGGAGCUAAUACCGGAUAACAUGUUGAACCGCAUGGUUCAACAGUGAAAGACGGUCUUGCUGUCACUUAUAGAUGGAUCCGCGUCGCAUUAGCUAGUUGGUAAGGUAACGGCUUACCAAGGCAACGAUGCGUAGCCGACCUGAGAGGGUGAUCGACCACACUGGAACUGAGACACGGUCCAGACUCCUACGGGAGGCAGCAGUAGGGAAUCUUCCGCAAUGGGCGAAAGCCUGACGGAGCAACGCCGCGUGAGUGAAGAAGGUCUUCGGAUCGUAAAACUCUGUUAUUAGGGAAGAACAAAUGUGUAAGUAACUAUGCACGUCUUGACGGUACCUAAUCAGAAAGCCACGGCUAACUACGUGCCAGCAGCCGCGGUAAUACGUAGGUGGCAAGCGUUAUCCGGAAUUAUUGGGCGUAAAGCGCGCGUAGGCGGUUUUUUAAGUCUGAUGUGAAAGCCCACGGCUCAACCGUGGAGGGUCAUUGGAAACUGGAAAACUUGAGUGCAGAAGAGGAAAGUGGAAUUCCAUGUGUAGCGGUGAAAUGCGCAGAGAUAUGGAGGAACACCAGUGGCGAAGGCGACUUUCUGGUCUGUAACUGACGCUGAUGUGCGAAAGCGUGGGGAUCAAACAGGAUUAGAUACCCUGGUAGUCCACGCCGUAAACGAUGAGUGCUAAGUGUUAGGGGGUUUCCGCCCCUUAGUGCUGCAGCUAACGCAUUAAGCACUCCGCCUGGGGAGUACGACCGCAAGGUUGAAACUCAAAGGAAUUGACGGGGACCCGCACAAGCGGUGGAGCAUGUGGUUUAAUUCGAAGCAACGCGAAGAACCUUACCGAAUCUUGACAUCCUCUGACCCCUCUAGAGAUAGAGUUUUCCCCUUCGGGGGACAGAGUGACAGGUGGUGCAUGGUUGUCGUCAGCUCGUGUCGUGAGAUGUUGGGUUAAGUCCCGCAACGAGCGCAACCCUUAAGCUUAGUUGCCAUCAUUAAGUUGGGCACUCUAAGUUGACUGCCGGUGACAAACCGGAGGAAGGUGGGGAUGACGUCAAAUCAUCAUGCCCCUUAUGAUUUGGGCUACACACGUGCUACAAUGGACAAUACAAAGGGUAGCGAAACCGCGAGGUCAAGCAAAUCCCAUAAAGUUGUUCUCAGUUCGGAUUGUAGUCUGCAACUCGACUACAUGAAGCUGGAAUCGCUAGUAAUCGUAGAUCAGCAUGCUACGGUGAAUACGUUCCCGGGUCU
Molecule: ribosomal RNA, 1372 nt
Filed under: uncultured bacterium
Lineage: Bacteria
Description: bacterial SSU rRNA
Rfam family: Bacterial small subunit ribosomal RNA
Source: RNAcentral